Molecule: ribosomal RNA, 253 nt
Filed under: uncultured bacterium
Lineage: Bacteria
Description: partial 16S ribosomal RNA
Rfam family: Bacterial small subunit ribosomal RNA
Source: RNAcentral
UACGGGGGGGGCAAGCGUUGUUCGGAAUUACUGGGCGUAAAGGGCUCGUAGGCGGCCAACUAAGUCAGACGUGAAAUCCCUCGGCUUAACCGGGGAACUGCGUCUGAUACUGGAUGGCUGGAGUUUGGGAGAGGGAUGCGGAAUUCCAGGUGUAGCGGUGAAAUGCGUAGAUAUCUGGAGGAACACCGGUGGCGAAGGCGGCAUCCUGGACCAAUACUGACGCUGAGGAGCGAAAGCCAGGGGAGCAAACGGU